RNAcentral lists this ribosomal RNA (232 nucleotides) under uncultured bacterium. RNAcentral describes it as "partial 16S ribosomal RNA". It matches the Rfam family "Bacterial small subunit ribosomal RNA", at positions 104 to 334 of the family's 1533-position model. The record is from RNAcentral.
CGGGGUGAGUAACGCGUGGGUAACCUGCCUCAUACAGGGGGAUAACAGUUAGAAAUGGCUGCUAAUACCGCAUAAGCACACAGUGUUGCAUGACACAGUGUGAAAAACUCCGGUGGUAUGAGAUGGACCCGCGUCUGAUUAGCUGGUUGGUGGGGUAACGGCCUACCAAGGCGACGAUCAGUAGCCGACCUGAGAGGGUGACCGGCCACAUUGGGACUGAGACACGGCCCAA